UAGAAUAGAGUUUGCAGAAGA
Non-coding RNA from Caenorhabditis elegans, 21 nucleotides. Lineage: Eukaryota; Metazoa; Nematoda; Chromadorea; Rhabditida; Rhabditidae. The record is from Ensembl.